AGAGUUUGAUCCUGGCUCAGGACGAACGCUGGCGGCGUGCUUAACACAUGCAAGUCGAGCGGUAAGGCCCCUUCGGGGUACACGAGCGGCGAACGGGUGAGUAACACGUGAGCAACCUGCCCCUGACUCUGGGAUAAGCCGUGGAAACGCGGUCUAAUACCGGAUACGACGCCUCACCGCAUGGUGGGGUGUGGAAAGUUUUUGUCGGUUGGGGAUGGGCUCGCGGCCUAUCAGCUUGUUGGUGGGGUGAUGGCCUACCAAGGCGAUUACGGGUAGCCGGCCUGAGAGGGCGACCGGCCACACUGGGACUGAGACACGGCCCAGACUCCUGCGGGAGGCAGCAGUGGGGAAUAUUGCGCAAUGGGCGGAAGCCUGACGCAGCGACGCCGCGUGGGGGAUGACGGCCUUCGGGUUGUAAACCUCUUUUACCACUCACGCAGGCCCCGGGUGUUCUCGGGGUUGACGGUAGGUGGGGAAUAAGGACCGGCUAACUACGUGCCAGCAGCCGCGGUAAUACGUAGGGUCCGAGCGUUGUCCGGAAUUAUUGGGCGUAAAGAGCUCGUAGCGGUGUGUCGCGUCUGCUGUGAAAGGCUGGGGCUUAACCCUGGUUUGCAGUGAUACGGCAUGCUAGAGGUAGGUAGGGGAGACUGGAAUUCCUGUGUAGCGUGAAUGCGCAGAUAUCUGAGGACACGGUGCGACGCGGUCUCUGGGCCUACUGACGCUGAGAGCGAAGCGUGGGAGCGACAGAUAAUACCUGUAGUCACGCGUAAACGUGGCG
Molecule: ribosomal RNA, 778 nt
Filed under: uncultured Nocardiopsis sp.
Lineage: Bacteria; Bacillati; Actinomycetota; Actinomycetes; Streptosporangiales; Nocardiopsidaceae
Description: bacterial SSU rRNA
Rfam family: Bacterial small subunit ribosomal RNA
Source: RNAcentral